Choloepus didactylus (southern two-toed sloth) is the source of this 438-nucleotide long non-coding RNA. RefSeq lists it as uncharacterized. Lineage: Eukaryota; Metazoa; Chordata; Mammalia; Pilosa; Megalonychidae. The record is from RefSeq and is a predicted model, not a curated record. The transcript has 2 exons.
CUGGAAUCGAGGCUCAGAUUCCCUCACAAUUUCAUCAGCUGUACCCUGGGACUCUUGGUCUUGAAUCUCGGGUGGGAUCCUGCAGGAAAGAAAUGUAGUCAGACAGCUCAGAACCUGCACGUGACUGAAAGGACAGAAUGAUCCCAGCAAGAAAAGUCUCUCUGGAGGAAGAGGCUGCAAUGGAUGCAUUCCAGGCUUCUAUGGAAAGACCAGAGGCGUGGAGUGAUGUUAUCAUCCCUAAAGAACCACAAAAGUGCCGCCCGAGAGCAGACCCCAGCUCCAGACACCUGCCCAGCCCAGGAACAGCUGAUGUGAGGGCAUCUCAUAGACAAACCCUGUUGGAAAGUUCCUGCUCUGUUGGCUUUUUCCUCCCCUCCCUUCCAGCCAGAGGGAUCAGAGUUCAAAAUUGGCAAAAAAAAAAAAAAAAAAAAAAAAAAA